This 264-nucleotide ribosomal RNA is filed under the name uncultured bacterium. Its description in RNAcentral is "partial 16S ribosomal RNA". It matches the Rfam family "Bacterial small subunit ribosomal RNA", at positions 57 to 305 of the family's 1533-position model. The record is from RNAcentral.
GCAAGUCGAACGGAAACGACUAGAGCUUGCUCUAGGGCGUCGAGUGGCGGACGGGUGCGUAACGCGUGGAAAUCUACCUAUAAGCUGGGGAUAAGCUUUGGAAACAGAGUCUAAUACCGAAUAAGCUUUAGUCUGUAAAGAAUAAAGUAAAGAGUGCCUCUCCUUGGAAGCAGUCACUUAUAGAUGAGUCUGCGUUGGAUUAGCUAGUUGGUAGGGUAAAGGCCUACCAAGGCAACGAUCCAUAGCUGGUUUGAGAGGAUGAUC